UUUCCGGUGAUGAUUGCGGCGGGGUCACACCUCUUCCCAUUCCGAACAGAGAAGUUAAGCCCGUUUGCGCCGAUGGUACUGCUUGGGCGACCUUGUGGGAGAGUAGGUAAUUGCCGGGA
Molecule: ribosomal RNA, 119 nt
Filed under: Latescibacteria bacterium SCGC AAA252-B13
Lineage: Bacteria; Pseudomonadati; Candidatus Latescibacterota
Source: RNAcentral